GAUGAACGCUGGCGGCGUGCCUAAUACAUGCAAGUCGAACGGACAGGCCCUGCUCUUGCGUGGUGCUUGAGUGGCGAACGGGUGAGUAACACGUGAGUAUCCUGCCCUUGACUUUGUGAUAACUUCUGGAAACACGGGCUAUUACCGGAUAGGAGCUUCUGCUGCAUGUUGGGGGUAGGAAAGAUUCGGCGGUUGGGGAUCGUCUCGCUGCUUAUCCGCUUGUUGGUCGGGUAGUGGCUUACCAAGGUUUUGACGGAUAGCCGGCCUGAGAGGGCGACCGGCGUCAUUGGGACUGAGGUACGGCGCAGACUGCAACGGGAGGCAGCAGUGGGGAAUAUUGCACAAUGGGCGGAAGCCUGAUGCAGCAGCGCCGCGUGCGGGAUGACGGCCUUCGGGUUAUAAACCGAUUUCGACGGUAACGAAGCGUGAGUGACGGUAAUGGGUAAAGAAGCAACGGCUAACUACGUG
RNAcentral lists this ribosomal RNA (468 nucleotides) under uncultured bacterium. Its description in RNAcentral is "partial 16S ribosomal RNA". It matches the Rfam family "Bacterial small subunit ribosomal RNA", at positions 28 to 507 of the family's 1533-position model. The record is from RNAcentral.